Molecule: ribosomal RNA, 254 nt
Filed under: uncultured bacterium
Lineage: Bacteria
Description: partial 16S ribosomal RNA
Rfam family: Bacterial small subunit ribosomal RNA
Source: RNAcentral
UACGGAGGGUGCAAGCGUUAUCCGGCCUCACCGGGUUUAAAGGGUGCGUAGGCGGUUACGUAAGUCAGGCGUGAAAUUUCUUGGCAUAACCAAAGAGACUGCGAUUGAUACUGUGUAACUUGAAUAGAGUUGAGGUAUGCGGAAUGUGACAUGUAGCGGUGAAAUGCAUAGAUAUGUCAUAGAACACCGAUUGCGAAGGCAGCAUGCUGGGCUUUAAUUGACGCUGAGGCAUGAAAGCGGGGGGAGCAAACAGG